RNAcentral lists this ribosomal RNA (439 nucleotides) under uncultured bacterium. RNAcentral describes it as "partial 16S ribosomal RNA". It matches the Rfam family "Bacterial small subunit ribosomal RNA", at positions 339 to 795 of the family's 1533-position model. The record is from RNAcentral.
CUACGGGGUGCAGCAGUGAGGAAUAUUGCACAAUGGGGGCAACUCUGAUGCAGCAACGCCGCGUGGAGGAUGACACUUUUCGGAGCGUAAACUCCUUUUAUAUAGGAAGAAGAUGACGGUACUAUAUGAAUAAGCGCCGGCUAACUCCGUGCCAGCAGCCGCGGUAAUACGGAGGGCGCAAGCGUUACUCGGAAUCACUGGGCGUAAAGAGCGCGUAGGCGGAUUAAAAAGUCAGAAGUGAAAUCCUAUAGCUUAACUAUAGAACUGCUUCUGAAACUCUUAAUCUAGAAUAUGGGAGAGGUAGAUGGAAUUUCUGGUGUAGGGGUAAAAUCCGUAGAGAUCAGAAGGAAUACCGAUUGCGAAGGCGAUCUACUAGAGCAUUAUUGACGCUGAGACGCGAAAGCGUGGGGAGCAAACAGGAUUAGAUACCCGAGUAGUC